UUCUUCUAGUAAUAAAUUAAUUCUGAUUGAUACUACUACUUCCUCCGAUGAUCGGAUGGCGCCUACUGUGACAAGUCCAUUGCAUCCCCGACAUCGCCCUUUCCUCCUACUGCUGGGUUAGGCAUGGCAGGCUGCUUCUUGCGAGAGGAUUCCACAGACAUCGGUGCACGCGGUUUCAUAUUCUCCAUCUCCUUUGAAACUGCAUAGGAAAAGAACAGAUUUUGUUGUAAAAAUAAAUCUUUGCCCGUCUCAUUUAUCUUCCCUAAUAAUAAAGCACGGAGCGCUUCUGCCGUCCAUCGCUGAUGGUUUUGCAAACAAAUCCUUCUGUUUUCUGAUAUUCAACCCGCCGUCCAGAUUUAAGUGAAGAAGAAAAACGUUUCGGUGAUUAAAAAGAAAAACACCCCGAGCUCACCUUAUCCACGCCGUCCUCCACCACGGGAUCCUCGCUCCGACGAUCCGCCGCGCCACCCCUUGCCCCCCCUCCACCCCCACCCCAUCCCAAACCCACUACCGUACGUCGCCGUCGUCACCAUCCACCUCGACCCCGUCUCCCCUUACUCCCUUCUCGGCCAUAAAGGGCGCCGCAAUGGCCGCCGCGUAGGCCCCCGCGCGCGGGCAGCCUGAUGGCCGAUGGCAGCGACGGGGAGGGUGCGGGCGAGAGCUGCUGGCCGGCCCCCGCCGCCACCGCCUCCGGCCAAGGCAGCGGCGGCGGCGGGGUGCAGCUGUCCGGCGUCAGGAGGGAGAUCUACGACCGCCUGCGGGCCAUCGGCAACCAGGAGGCGUUCGCCGACCCCUUCUUCGACCGCGUGCUCGAAGACCACUACUAACGCCUCCCGCCAAGGUCCGUGCUUUCCGCUCACCCCCCGUCCACGCCCGCGUUUUCACCUCACCAACGCCUCUCUCUCUGUCUGUCUGUCUGUGUCCGCGCGCACCGGGGAUGUAGCUACUACAUCGACCUCGACGUGAGCAUGGAAGCCAGGGAUCCCCCACAAUUACCGUUUUGAUUUGGAGCCAGAGGUUUGUCCUGCUGAAGGAAUCGGGCAUGGAAGACGGGGCGGUUGUCGGGGUCGGCGCACUCGGCGAGGAUCCGGCGGUGGAGCAACACGUCCUCCGCCUUGUUCACCAGCGUUCAUGCGUGGCAUAGUUCUGUAAGAAUUGUCAAAAGCGAAUGUUUGAUUAAAAACAGAUAUUUCAGUCAUUUAUGCCAGCUGAUAGUCAGUUUGUAUUGCUCUGAUUAAUGAGCUCUACAGAGAUAUCAGAAAAGCUUUCCCAGAGGAAACUUGAAUUAUUGCAUUUGUGAUGUAGAUAUUCUAACUCAUCUUCAUGGCAUAACUGUAAACAAAGUUCUGCUGUGAUUACUUUUUCAA
Long non-coding RNA from Hordeum vulgare subsp. vulgare (domesticated barley), 1367 nucleotides. RefSeq lists it as uncharacterized. Lineage: Eukaryota; Viridiplantae; Streptophyta; Magnoliopsida; Poales; Poaceae. The transcript has 2 exons. The record is from RefSeq and is a predicted model, not a curated record.